GAAUAAGCAGGACGGAGAGUUUUCUGCAGGAGCGCGCGCACCGCUCCGCUUUUUUUUUGUCGCGAGCGUUUCCAGCUUUUUCACGGACACGAGCCUGGACCUGCAGCUCCUUCAGGACCUUGUUUCUCUGAGGAUACCUGACAGUGUGUUUACAAACAGUUUAAAGCGAAAGGACGCAAAAAUAUUCAGCUCAAUUCAAGAAUUAAUAUAAUUUUAUUCGCGUUCAAGUUUUUUUUUUUUACACAAUAUUAACCAUGCACGCCUCUCUGGGGAUUGUUCACGCGCUCUGCAGGGAUCAGGCAUGUCCCUCUCGCCCCUGGUGACUUAUUUUGUGAGAGGAGAGCGCGAGGACGCUGGAGACCCACACUGAGCACAGCGCGAGCUUUCAGCGGCCAGAUACCCACUCACUCACUCAUUCACUCACUCAUCCACUCACUCACUCCCUCCCUCCCCGGCUGUGUCCGAGGGAUGGUGGUGGGUCCCUCGCGCUCAGGCUCAGGAGCCCCGCAGCACGCGCCGCUCCUCCACGCGCCGUCCGUCUGCUUUUGGGGGAAACAGAGUGAGGGGAGAUGAAGACCGCUCUGUGCUGCUGCUUGAUCUUAACCUGCCUCAGGAUAAGCACUGCUGAGGAGCUGGGGAUUCCUCAGGAUCUGAUGGACAGGCUCGCUCACAGUGAAAUCCACAGCAUUAGCGACCUCCAGCGGCUGCUGGACCUCCACUCCGGGCACUCUGCAGGUUCGGGAAAUGAAGUGAUGGAGCACUCCAAACAGAAGCACCACCAGAAAAGCCACUCGCAUCACCACAGUUACGAGCUCAAGAGCAACCAGAUGCACCGCAGACGCAAGAGGAGUGUUGUAGAGGAGGCCGUGCCAGCUGCGUGUAAAACGAGAACGGUGAUCUACGAGAUCCCGCGCAGCCAGGUGGAUCCGACGGCCGCCAACUUCCUCAUCUGGCCCCCCUGCGUGGAGGUGAAGCGGUGCACAGGCUGCUGCAACACCAGCAACAUGCGCUGCCAUGCCUCAAAAAGACACCACCGCACUGUUAAGGUGGCGAAGGUAGAGUUUGCGUCUCGUAAGAAGCCGAAGUUGAAGGAGGUUCUUGUUCGGUUAGAGGAUGAUGUGGAGUGUGUGUGUGUAUCACAGCACCAUGUGACAGAACAUGUUGAAUCAGAUACAGGCCCCCGUAGGGUCAAAGGUAAAAAACGGAAAAACAGAAAAAAAACAGAGCCGUCCCAUCUCAGCAAGGAUUUAUUGGUGUCGUAAUAAAAUCGGCAGAUGUUUCCCCCACCUAAAGUCCAGCGGAGCUGUACCUGCUGCAGUGGAUGUGAGGUGAAAGCAGGCCAGAAGAGGGACUGUAGAGACGGAGGGGCUGAAGCGAGGUCACUGUUCCUUGUGGUCUUGACCUCUGAUCCCAUCCCACCACCACCGUCAAUAACACACCUAGAUGAACUGUAACCUGAGAUUAAAAACACCAGCCCAACACUAAACGUGCUCAAAGCAGUAAACUGCUUCAAACACUGAAGACCAUGAAGAUGAUGAUACACUGGCUGGAAGGUUUAUCUAAGACUGAAAGCGCGAGGAGAAAGCCUUUUGGAGUAGCUACAUUUGGAGUACUGAACUUAAGAGGACCUGUGAACUAGGCCUCGAUCCACUGGAGGGCAUCUGCAGGAGUUUUGCUGGGACAAAUGAGGCUCUAGAUGAUAAAACCCAGCGAAAGACUGGAAAGGAGAAACGAGUGCAGUGUUGGACGAGGUGCGGACGAGAGCAAAGCCUUGCUUUGAGGGGCUCUUGCUGGACAUUGUUUCGGCUGAUCGUCUGAGCUGCUCUAGAACCUCUCCGUUCUGUAGCAUCUAACUGCUCCUCUGGGAACUGUGACUCUGAACUUUGCAGACCAGGAGGAAAAGACUUACUUUUCAGUAAUUUUCUUCAGAAUAUACUAUUUAUAGAUGCGAAAACUCUCUCUAUAUAUAUCUCUUUAUCUAUCUCUCUUGCUCUUUCUCUCCCAGCACAAAAACAAGCCAAUGUAAUAUCCAUUAUGCGACUGUUGACAUUUUCUAACUGUCCCUGAAACUGCUUUUCGUUGUUGUUGUUGUUUAUUAUAUUACAGCAUAUCGUCAAUCUCAGAACUAGCGUGAUGGGAAAAAUAGGUGCAAGAGACAGAAAAGGAAAGAUGCUUUAUUUUUGUUAUGAAAAUAUAUUAUGCUUAUGUAUAUUCCAGCAGGAAGUAUGUUUUUGUUCUUACAUUGUGGUGAAAGUUGUUGUGUAUUUUGUCUGAGCUGAGAGCCUUUAUUGCUGAAGAUGCAGCUCAGCGCAGCAGAAGAGAGCGAAUUACACUGUAAUUGAGCAGAAUGGAGGAUAUUUAGCCUGAGAGAAGGGGAUCAGGGGGGAGGUCUAUGCGUCAAACAACCCUACUUUGCUAUUAUUAUCGCUAUGAAAUACACACAAACUCCUACAAAGCAAAAAUAAUUAGCGCAAAUAUAAGCUAAAAUUCUCUAUGAUCAAGUAAACAUCAUAAUCACACUAAAACUGUGUGAUCUAAUAUGGUUAAUAGGGAGCACUGUUCUGAGCUGGGUUUCCCCAAAGCAUCUUAGCAUAUUAGCAUCUUAGCGAGAUGAUUCUUAAAUGGUAGAGUGAACAUCACACUGAACACUUUCCCUACUAGUUAAGAUGAUCUUAAAUCUAUUAAGAACCAAAAUCUACACUCUGAUGUAAAAUGAGUGGUCUUACUCUUGGGAAGCACUUAUGCUAUGUUCUGCACUCACCAAUCACAAGGCUAAUGUGGCUUGGACCACCCACAGCUUUAACAAAACUGUGUUCCCCCAUAGUCUCUCCUUGUACGAGUCAGUAAAACUUACAGAGAAAAAGCUAACAACCAAGCGAAAGCUAACCUAGCAAGCGCAACUUUUUCAGCUAGCUCAUUCGUUUGCCUGUUCGUUAAUUUGUUUGUCCAUCUGUUCCUUCGUUCAACUGGCCACGCCAGUGUUCCCUGGAUGUACGUCCAGCAGUAAAGUAAAUUAAAACCUUACCUUUAUUAAGUAGUUGCUAUAUAAAAGCUGGGUGAUGUUUUUAGUGAGCUGGAUGAUGUUUUUAGUGAGCAUAUGUAGAGCCCAUUUUACUCAUUUUUGUGUUUGGUUCUGUCUCACUGGUGUAGCAAGCUGGGAGUAUUGGACUAAGGGAUGUCAAUAACACAUGCGCAUCAGAAUAUUAGGACCCAUCCAGACAGAUCUCAGAUAGAUCAACAAGUUUUAAGCCAUGUUUUAUUAUAUUUCGUUCAAAAUUUGCAGAAGGUUUAAUAUAACCCCAAAUUUUAGUGUAAUUUAAACAUAACACAAAAAUAUUUCAAACUUUGUUCCUUGGGACUUUAAGAUGCUUUUGGGAAACUAGGCCCUGAUUGUUGGAGAUUGAGAUAUUUCCACAGAGUGACCGGUGAGGACUCAAUGGUUGAAAUGACUGAGAUGACUCAGCACACGCUCAGAUUAGUUUGAGCUUCUAAUACAUUAAAAAAACUGAUGCAGCUUCUAAAAAAGAACUGAAAUCUAUUCAGAAUGUUUUUUCUGGCCAUAUCAGUACUGUUUUUAACACCUCCUCAUCGACCAUGCCUCAUCAUUUUCCCCUGGGGAAUCAAUGACACCAUCUUACGGGCUGUUCAAUUACUGAAAGUACACAAGAUCACGUCAGUGGUGGAUGAAGGUGUUUAUAAGCCAUAGCAAUAAAAAAUUGUUCCAAUUAUUUAAAAAAUAUAACAUUCAUUUGAAUGUUCAAGCUAGGAUUUAUGUAGGAAACUGCUCCAUCUGUUAUACACGACUGCCUACACUGUCAUUAUGUUACUCUGCUAGCUUGCUAGUUAGCCAGCUAAGGACUCUACAGCUAACAACAACAAAAAUAGCCUUGCAGGGCCAGAUGUGAUCUCAUAAUGAAAACGUCGGGGGACACGUGGGUGAGAACGUAGACCUACCAGGGUGGGAAAAAAUUGAGUGUGAAAUUUCUGAACCGAUACAAUGCCUCGUGAAGGAGGAACUCAAAACAGGGAGAUGGUGCGCUAGUCAAAAAUGUCUGAUUGACAACAGGCCAGUCUUCAGCCCAUGGAUGUAACAGAAGUUAGCAUGGCUGAAAAGCCCCCACAAAAACCUUAAAUUAAGCAGAAAGAUGGGCCAGAACUCGCGAUUAAAAAUGGACAUUACCUCUUGCAAAGGAAAAAAGAAUGUUAGCUUAUGAUAGCAUUUUGCUAGCUAGCUAUUGUUAGGGUUUGUACUACAGACAUUAACGGACUAGGAGUAUCUGGGGGCAGGUUUUAGGCCUAGCAGUGCCCCCAAAAGUUUAACAAGUGGUCCCCAGUUAUGUAUUCUCCUCAUUCUCAACAGAAAUGAAGGCAAUACACAACAUGCAAGUUCCUAAACCAAAGUGUACAGCCAGACAAAACAUUGUCAUUCACGUUUGUAUGUUCAUUUAAAAAAAUCUCAAUUUAUGCAUGGCUGGCUGAUUAGCUCGCUGUUGCUAACUUAGCCAAUGGCUACGCAAUUCUCAGCAGUACAGUGAUGUUGAGGGUGUGUUAAAAACAGUAUGUUGAAGCUAAUCACCCAACUUUGUGAGCCAACCCACCAACCUCUCUUUCCUUAGCCCCUCCCCUCCCUCCAGGCUUAUGUGAAUAUCGAUCAGCUGCUUAGAUGGAACGGCCAUAAUUUACUCCCCACCCCUUCAGAGAAACUGAAGAAGUUAAAGAAAAGCAAGGGACUGUAAUUAGACUGAACUGAAAGCGUGUCGUUUGUACAGAGGGUACCGGGUGUUCUAAGGGAAUACUGCUGCUGUUUUUGUAUUAAGGGCGCCGACAUUUCACUGAAUAUUAGAGGUCUAUGAUGAUGAUGUAAUUGGUGCUAUAUUUAUAAUGCAAGCUAGAAAUGUAUCAUAGCCGACCUUCACCCUAACCAUUCAUAUAAACUUUUAUUUUUUUUUUUUAAGUAGCUUUAUAUAUAGAACAGGGACCAUUGUUCAAAAAGAAAACAACAGACAUUAUCAUUGAGCUUUUAUUUUGUAAUUGUUAUGCCCUUGAUUGGAUAAAAUAACAAUGACUAUAAUUUAUAUAUUUAUGGUUUCAGUAAUAAAAUACGUUUCUGCUCAUUAAACUUUAUACAAAAGAA
RNA transcript from Colossoma macropomum (tambaqui), 5134 nucleotides. It is a transcript of the gene named platelet-derived growth factor alpha polypeptide b, with no coding region annotated. The transcript has 7 exons. Lineage: Eukaryota; Metazoa; Chordata; Actinopteri; Characiformes; Serrasalmidae. The record is from RefSeq and is a predicted model, not a curated record.